This is a long non-coding RNA of Lolium rigidum, 310 nucleotides long. RefSeq lists it as uncharacterized. NCBI's taxonomy places the organism in Eukaryota, Viridiplantae, Streptophyta, Magnoliopsida, Poales, Poaceae. The transcript has 3 exons. The record is from RefSeq and is a predicted model, not a curated record.
UUCUAAACUGGGUGCAUGCCUUUUCUGAACUGAAGCUGGUGCGCAUCUCCGUCGUCUGGCACAUACCCUGCUCUGUUGGUGUGCCUCGUGCUCUUGUGCAGGUUCUACUGCUUGGUGCCACCACCCAUGGUUUGCAGUUGGCCUCCAUUGACUCAUUAGCUGCUGGAGCCUCUCUCUUUUCUGGAGGACUUGAGCCUAGCACCUGUUGAUGUGUGGUUUUUUCCCCGGUUAGCUGCGUGUUCAGAAGCUCACUUGGUUCAAAUGCCCGCUGCUGGAGUCCAGCGAAGCCUGCGCCAGGCCUCCUCGUCGC